Molecule: non-coding RNA, 446 nt
Organism: Neoarius graeffei (lesser salmon catfish)
Lineage: Eukaryota; Metazoa; Chordata; Actinopteri; Siluriformes; Ariidae
Source: the annotation of a RefSeq genome assembly
AUGGUGGAAAACAAAUGCAGCACGCUUUCCAACUCUGGCACAGCUGGCAAAGUCUUUGCUGUGUAUUCCAGCAACAUCCACACCAUCAGCGUGCCUGUUUUCUGCAGCAGAAGGAGCAGAGGUCAGGUGACUGUGACUCAGACUCCUUCAGUGCAAACUGUUGCUCCAGGAAACACAGUCACCAUCAACUGUAGAACCAGUAGCAGUGUGCUUAAUGGUUACUAUCUCGCCUGGUACCUGCAGAAACCUGGAGAAGCUCCUAAACCCCUGAUCUACUAUGCUACUAGCUUACAGUCAGGGACUCCAGCUCGUUUCAGCGGCAGUGGAUCGAAUACUGACUUCACUCUGACCAUCAGUGGAGUCCAGACUGAAGAUGCAGGAGAUUACUACUGUCAGAGUUAUCAUAGUGGCUACGUGUUCACACAGUGUUAGAGCGUCGUACAAAA